CCACCACCAUCGUUUCUUAUCGAAGGAUUAUUAACAUUAGAAAUCCAAUUCGCCGAAGAUUAAGACAGAAAAUAUUGGUCUCAACUCAGAUCACUAAGGAUGUUUGAAUUGGGGAAGAAGAAAAACUGAAUCAUUGUUUGGGAGAGAUUGUUAUGAUGAGAGUUGUGAAUCUUUUGGUCUUACAUGUUAAGAAUUGGAAAAGCUAUAUGUGGUGCUUUUGGUACGAUUGUUGUCCACAAAGUUUCAUCCAUCUGAUUCUUAAAGAACAUUUAGUCAUUCUAAAUCAUUUAGAUAUUCUUUUUAAAGAUAUAAUUGUUCACUGACGAGUGUCCAAACAAUCAAGUCCAAAUGGUCACCUAGUAACUCACAGUUUGUUUUAUAUCAAUGCACAAAUUUAUACAUGAACAAUAAU
Molecule: RNA transcript, 412 nt
Organism: Arabidopsis thaliana (thale cress)
Lineage: Eukaryota; Viridiplantae; Streptophyta; Magnoliopsida; Brassicales; Brassicaceae
Exons: 2
Source: RefSeq